Clostridium sp. CAG:167 is the source of this 74-nucleotide transfer RNA. It matches the Rfam family "tRNA". From Rfam's summary of the family: Transfer RNA (tRNA) molecules are approximately 80 nucleotides in length. Lineage: Bacteria; Bacillati; Bacillota; Clostridia; Eubacteriales; Clostridiaceae. The record is from Rfam.
GGCGGGAUAGCUCAGUUGGCAAGAGCACACGGUUCAUACCCGUGGUGUCGCUGGUUCGAAUCCAGUUCCCGCUA